GGCAUUUUAAUGCCUCAAAUUCAAGAGUGUUCUUAUAGAAGCUCUGCUACUUUUUAGGUUUUCAUAAAGAUAACUUCUUGGGAAAAUUGAAAACACUUGAAAUUUCAUUGAUGUUCUAACACAAUAAGAAGAAAGCACAUACUGUUUUAGGUACAUCAAUUCUAAAAACAAAUGAAAGUGUAGGUACACUAAAAACUGGAAUGGGGGUCUUUGAUAAUGAAGACCAGGAAAAGGCAGAAAUUUUAAAUAACUAUUUCUCAUCUGCGUAGGAAGAACCUAUGGCUAUAGAUAUGCAAAUGAUUGCUGCAAAAAACUUGCAGAAACAUUGUGAUUGGAUGACUCAAGACAAGGUGCUGCUGCAACAAAAGAAAGCUAAUAUAAACAAAGCUGCAGGGCCUAAGGAUAUUCGUCCACUAGUACUUAAGGAACCAAGUGUGGAAAUAAGUGAAACUCUGUUUUUAAUCUUUUAAGAUUUUCUUCCAGGAAUUGUACCUGAG
Pelobates cultripes (western spadefoot toad) is the source of this 497-nucleotide non-coding RNA. The record is from the annotation of a GenBank genome assembly. NCBI's taxonomy places the organism in Eukaryota, Metazoa, Chordata, Amphibia, Anura, Pelobatidae.